CAAUUUCUGUAGGUUUAACCUGCGGAGGGAUCAUUACCGAGUUUACAACUCCCAAACCCAAUGUGAACGUUACCAAACUGUUGCCUCGGCGGGAUCUCUGCCCCGGGUGCGUCGCAGCCCCGGACCAAGGCGCCCGCCGGAGGACCAACCAAAACUCUUAUUGUAUACCCCCUCGCGGGUUUUUUUAUAAUCUGAGCCUUCUCGGCGCCUCUCGUAGGCGUUUCGAAAAUGAAUCAAAACUUUCAACAACGGAUCUCUUGGUUCUGGCAUCGAUGAAGAACGCAGCGAAAUGCGAUAAGUAAUGUGAAUUGCAGAAUUCAGUGAAUCAUCGAAUCUUUGAACGCACAUUGCGCCCGCCAGUAUUCUGGCGGGCAUGCCUGUCCGAGCGUCAUUUCAACCCUCGAACCCCUCCGGGGGGUCGGCGUUGGGGAUCGGCCCUGCCUUGGCGGUGGCCGUCUCCGAAAUACAGUGGCGGUCUCGCCGCAGCCUCUCCUGCGCAGUAGUUUGCACACUCGCAUCGGGAGCGCGGCGCGUCCACAGCCGUUAAACACCCAACUUCUGAAAUGCGACCUACUGAUGCAGGUAGCAUCACG
This 593-nucleotide ribosomal RNA is filed under the name Trichoderma harzianum. Its description in RNAcentral is "eukaryotic LSU rRNA". The stretch from base 238 to 391 matches the Rfam family "5.8S ribosomal RNA". The record is from RNAcentral. Lineage: Eukaryota; Fungi; Ascomycota; Sordariomycetes; Hypocreales; Hypocreaceae.